RNAcentral lists this ribosomal RNA (514 nucleotides) under Escherichia coli. RNAcentral's name for it is "bacterial SSU rRNA". It matches the Rfam family "Bacterial small subunit ribosomal RNA", at positions 1 to 504 of the family's 1533-position model. The record is from RNAcentral. Lineage: Bacteria; Pseudomonadati; Pseudomonadota; Gammaproteobacteria; Enterobacterales; Enterobacteriaceae.
AAAUUGAAGAGUUUGAUCAUGGCUCAGAUUGAACGCUGGCGGCAGGCCUAACACAUGCAAGUCGAACGGUAACAGGAAGCAGCUUGCUGCUUUGCUGACGAGUGGCGGACGGGUGAGUAAUGUCUGGGAAACUGCCUGAUGGAGGGGGAUAACUACUGGAAACGGUAGCUAAUACCGCAUAACGUCGCAAGACCAAAGAGGGGGACCUUCGGGCCUCUUGCCAUCGGAUGUGCCCAGAUGGGAUUAGCUUGUUGGUGGGGUAACGGCUCACCAAGGCGACGAUCCCUAGCUGGUCUGAGAGGAUGACCAGCCACACUGGAACUGAGACACGGUCCAGACUCCUACGGGAGGCAGCAGUGGGGAAUAUUGCACAAUGGGCGCAAGCCUGAUGCAGCCAUGCCGCGUGUAUGAAGAAGGCCUUCGGGUUGUAAAGUACUUUCAGCGGGGAGGAAGGGAGUAAAGUUAAUACCUUUGCUCAUUGACGUUACCCGCAGAAGAAGCACCGGCUAACUCC